RNAcentral lists this ribosomal RNA (230 nucleotides) under uncultured bacterium. Its description in RNAcentral is "partial 16S ribosomal RNA". It matches the Rfam family "Bacterial small subunit ribosomal RNA", at positions 14 to 235 of the family's 1533-position model. The record is from RNAcentral.
UAAUCAUGGCUCAGGAUGAACGCUAGCUACAGGCUUAACACAUGCAAGUCGCGGGGCAGCAUGAAGGAUGCUUGCAUCCUUUGAUGGCGACCGGCGCACGGGUGAGUAACGCGUAUCCAACCUGCCUGUUACCACGGCACAGCCCGUCGAAAAGCGGAUUAAUGCCGUAUGUGGUCUUGAAAGGGCAUCUGAUCAUGACUAAAGGUUCAGCGGUAACGGAUGGGGAUGCG